GAUGAACGCUGGCGGUAUGCCUAAUACAUGCAAGUCGAACGGUACCAUCGGGUACUGUGGCGGCCGGGUGUGUCAGCCGUGAGAAUCUUUCUUCAGGUCUGGGACAACAGUUAGAAAUGACUGCCAAUACGGGACGUGACGAAAGGUCAAAGAUUUAUUGUCUGAAAAAGAGCUCGCGUUAGAUUAGCUAGUAGGUGGUGUAAGUGAAUACCUACGCUUCGAUCUGUAGCUGGUGUGAGAGAACGAGCAGCCACUCUGGAACUGAGACACGGUCCCGACUCCUACGGGAUGCAGCAGUGGGGAAUGUUCCGCAAUGGGCGAAAUCCUGACGGAGCAAGACCCCGUGAGGGACGAAGGCUGUGAAGUCGUAAACCUCUUUUCACAAGGAAGAUUCAGACGGUACUUGAUGAAUAAGCAUCGGCUAACUCUGUG
Molecule: ribosomal RNA, 432 nt
Filed under: uncultured bacterium
Lineage: Bacteria
Description: partial 16S ribosomal RNA
Rfam family: Bacterial small subunit ribosomal RNA
Source: RNAcentral